AUGGAGGGAUACUUCCUCGCCUCCUCCUUCCAGUCUCCCGUCGUCACUCGCGCCAGCGCCCGCUAUGCCCCCUGGGUUCUCCUCGACACGAAGGCCUACUUCGCCAUCCGCAAGAACGCCACGACCGCCGAAGCUGUGACCAGCACCGGCAACGCAUUCAAGGUCACCUUCUGCCUGGCCGACCCCCCGGCCAUCUCCCACUUCUGCGUCCACGGGCCCGAGUUCCAGCGCGACGACUUAACGACCGAGCCCCUGGUCGUCUUCUCUGCCAAGGACUUCGUGCUCCUCCGCUUUAUUUCCGGGAGAACCCGUCCGGGAUCUCGACUCGAGGAGUACUUCGUCUACAAGGCCGACCACGGCAAGCCGUCGCUCACACUGAUCCCGCGUACUCCUCCAGGCACCACAAACUCGUCAAGCUUGUGCGUCCUGCCAUUCGACGAUGAUGAUGGGGGAUUUGUCGUCGCAGAUCUCUGCAAGACACUAGUGUCCCCGUCAGACUACAAGCUCCACGUCUUCUCUUCCAGAACAGGCAAGUGGGCCACUAUGCCUUUGCGGUUGCAAACAUAUGCCGGGGUGAGGAAAGAGGACCUGCCGGGCCAUUUUUUCAACAAGGUGGUCGCGCUCGGAGGAGGUGCCGUCGGCUGGACCGACCUCUGGCGUGGCAUUCUCACCUGCAAUGUGUUUGACAAGAACCCCGUUCUAAGUUUCAUCCCGAUACCCAUGCUUUCUUACUGUGACGAGCAACGGAUAAGUGGUCCGUGGCUCAUCCGGGAUGUCACCUGCUUCAAUGGUUACAUCAAGUUUGUCGAGCUGGAACUUAUUACUCAAAAGAGCAGCGAGACAAGAGAGGAUAAUCUUGACAGUGUCGAUAUCAUCCACGAUUCUGAGCUGUUCUUCCACAAUGAGAAUGCCUGCACCAACAAAAAAAAGUGCCUAAUUGACGCCUGUGUUGGUUGGAAGCUCCGGACGUGUACUAGGCAUACCACCUGGAACUAUUGGCGCAAGGGGCACCCUAUUGAUAUAGAUGGCUUCUCGGCUCACAACCCUGAUCGUUUUAUGUUGCUCCCACAGCUCUGGAAUGCUGAGGCUGGAAGAUCGGCACCAAGGAAUCAGUGUUCAGCUUGCCCCACCACCCUAGACAUGGACAGCGAGGAUGUUGUUUACAUGAUGUCGAAACUGUCACAUGAUGAUAAGAACGCAUGGAUGGUUGGUGUUAACCUUGCAAAAAAGACGACGAACGUGCGUGUACCAGUUUCUGGUGCGAGAGUCCGCUAUUUCAAUCUGGAGCUCCUCAUCUGUGAUUUCUCUGAAUAUCUGAAUGCAACUCCAAGGUAA
Molecule: ribosomal RNA, 1335 nt
Filed under: Triticum aestivum (bread wheat)
Lineage: Eukaryota; Viridiplantae; Streptophyta; Magnoliopsida; Poales; Poaceae
Description: partial small subunit ribosomal RNA
Source: RNAcentral